GAUGAACGCUGGCGGCGUGCCUAAUACAUGCAAGUCGAGCGAGCAGACGAGGAGCUUGCUCCUUCGACGUUAGCGGCGGACGGGUGAGUCACACGUAGGUACCCUCCUUAACUUUCGGGGAAAACUUCGGGAAACGGGCUCAAACCCCGGAUAAGAUCCUGAUCCACAGGGGUGGUUGGUGAAUGAUGGCGUUGCGAUCACUUCUCGAUGGAUCUCGGCCGUUUUGGCUGGUUGGUCAGGUAACGGGUUACCAAGGCAACGAUUCGUAGGCGACUGGUGAGGGUGAUCGGCGACAUUGGAGCUGGGACACGGUCCAGGCUACUGCGAGAGGCAGCAGUAGGGAAUCGGAGGCAGUAGGCGAAAGCCUGACGGAGCAAGGCCACGUGAGUGAUGGAGGUCUUCGGAUCGUAAAACUGUGUUAUGGGGGAAGAACAAACGUGGAAGGAACUGUGGCCGGCGUGACGGUACCUGGUCAGAAAGCCACGGCUAACUACGUG
This 497-nucleotide ribosomal RNA is filed under the name uncultured bacterium. Its description in RNAcentral is "partial 16S ribosomal RNA". It matches the Rfam family "Bacterial small subunit ribosomal RNA", at positions 28 to 507 of the family's 1533-position model. The record is from RNAcentral.